UUAUACUUCCGCCAGCGGUCCCCUUUUUGGGGCCCAAGCGCCAGUGAUGAGAAGGGGUUUCAGCGUUUGCUGUGCUCUCGCUCCUGCUGGCGCCCAUGGUGUGGUGCGGCUCUGUCGCCCCCGCCGUGGCUCCACUGGUCUGCUGGCUCCGGCUUGCCGGGUCUGGUCGACCGGAAGGGUGGACCUCCACCUCGACCCCGUCCCUCGAGGAACGUCUCGAUGA
Molecule: non-coding RNA, 223 nt
Filed under: marine eukaryotic metagenome
Description: psaA RNA
Rfam family: psaA RNA
Source: RNAcentral